GUUGGUUUCUGUUUGUGGCGGUCUGAGAUGCUGAUACAAGAGCCAAGAACGGGGAAUCCCUGGAGGCCAAGAUGAGCAGGCCAGCAGCUGAGAUGAGAAGCGGCAGGGAGGAUACCAGUGACUGGCCUAGUUCUGAUUCUCGGAUGCCCAAGUGGUCCAGGAGGCCAGAGUAAGGACCAAAAUGGGGCAGAAAUCAGCUGGAGAUCAAAGUCGUCAGGAAGCCAGGAAAGCAUGGAAACUUAAAAGAGCCCAGUUCAAAGACUUUCACAGGGCUAGGCUGCUGGACAAGUGAGCAUCAAGGUCGUCUUGAUUCAACCUCCCCAUUCCCACUGCCGAGAUUUCACUGGCUCAUCACCACACCUGGCUUUUUUUCUAAAACAUGGGUUCUUGGGAUCAAAUACAGAUCUCCAC
This is a long non-coding RNA of Mesocricetus auratus (golden hamster), 411 nucleotides long. RefSeq lists it as uncharacterized. The transcript has 3 exons. NCBI's taxonomy places the organism in Eukaryota, Metazoa, Chordata, Mammalia, Rodentia, Cricetidae. The record is from RefSeq and is a predicted model, not a curated record.